RNAcentral lists this ribosomal RNA (496 nucleotides) under uncultured bacterium. RNAcentral describes it as "partial 16S ribosomal RNA". It matches the Rfam family "Bacterial small subunit ribosomal RNA", at positions 29 to 507 of the family's 1533-position model. The record is from RNAcentral.
AUGAACGCUGGCGGCGUGCCUCAUCCCUGCCAGUCGAGCGAACGGACGAGAAGCUUGCUUCUCUGAUGUUAGCGGCGGACGGGUGAGUAACACGUGGAUAACCUACCUAUAAGACUGGGAUAACUUCGGGAAACCGGAGCUAAUACCGGAUAAUAUUUUGAACCGCAUGGUUCAAAAGUGAAAGGCGGUCUUGCUGUCACUUAUAGAUGGAUCCGCGCUGCAUUAGCUAGUUGGUAAGGUAACGGCUUACCAAGGCAACGAUGCAUAGCCGACCCGAGAGGGUGAUCGGCCACACUGGAACUGAGACACGGUCCAGACUCCUACGGGAGGCAGCAGUAGGGAAUCUUCCGCAAUGGGCGAAAGCCUGACGGAGCAACGCCGCGUGAGUGAUGAAGGUCUUCGGAUCGUAAAACUCUGUUAUUAGGGAAGAACAUAUGUGUAAGUAACUGUGCACAUCUUGACGGUACCUAAUCAGAAAGCCACGGCUAACUACGUG